CCGAAUCUCUCUCUCUCUCUCUCUCUCUCUCUCUCUCUCUCUCUCUCAUCUCACUCUCUAGAUCUGACGUCGUCCACAUGAAAUUUGGAAGUUGACAAGGUUGUCGCCUCCAUUGUUGCCGAUGUGAAGAGAGAGAGAGAGAGUGAGAAAGAGAGGGAGAGAUGAGAGUGAACGAGUCG
This 179-nucleotide microRNA precursor is filed under the name Prunus dulcis (almond). RNAcentral describes it as "sRNA ncRNA". Lineage: Eukaryota; Viridiplantae; Streptophyta; Magnoliopsida; Rosales; Rosaceae. The record is from RNAcentral.